GUAGGAUGCAAGCGUUAUCCGGAAUUAUUGGGCGUAAAGAGUUCGUAGGGCGGUUUGUUAAGUUGGAUGUUAAAUCUUUGAGCUCAACUCAAACACGGUAUCCAAAACUGGCAAGCUAGAGACUGGUAGAGGUAAGUGGAAUUCUGCAUGUAGGGGUAAUAUCCGUAGAUAUGCAGAGGAACACCAAAAGCGAAGGCAGCUUACUGGACCAGUUCUGACGCUCAAGAACGAAAGCGUGGGUAGCGAACGGGAUUAGAUACCCCGGUAGUCCACGCCCUAAACUUUGAACACUAGGUGUUGGAGGCUUCGACCCCUUCAGUGCCGACGCUAACGCAUUAAGUGUUCCGCCUGGGUAGUACGAGCGCAAAGCUUAA
RNAcentral lists this ribosomal RNA (374 nucleotides) under uncultured organism. Its description in RNAcentral is "partial 16S ribosomal RNA". It matches the Rfam family "Bacterial small subunit ribosomal RNA", at positions 527 to 898 of the family's 1533-position model. The record is from RNAcentral.